GUAGGUGAACCUGCGGAAGGAUCAUUAGAGAUUGGCCUCACGGCCGUUUUCAAAUCCACACACACACCGUGAACCGUUCCCGCGUCUCCAGGGACGUGGGACUACCAACCAAAACAUUGUAUAAAGAACGUGAAAUGUAUAAACGAAACAAAACUUUCAACAACGGAUCUCUUGGCUCUC
RNAcentral lists this unclassified non-coding RNA (180 nucleotides) under rhizosphere metagenome. Its description in RNAcentral is "partial ribosomal RNA internal transcribed spacer region". The record is from RNAcentral.